The sequence is a ribosomal RNA, 671 nucleotides long. It matches the Rfam family "Eukaryotic small subunit ribosomal RNA", at positions 619 to 1168 of the family's 1831-position model.
UUAAAACGCUCGUAGUUGAAUUUUGAGGUUCAAUCUAAUGGUUCACUUGAUUGUGUAACCGUUAGAUUGGCUUCUUCCUACUAGUGACUCGAUUCUGUUCUUAAUUGAAUGGGAUAGCCAUCUCUCGGGGUGGUCGCUGGGUUAUCUUAGCUCCUCUAUGAGGCUGUAGGAUGUAAAAGUCUGAAAGUUUCAUACGAGGGUCAAGUUAAGGUGAUUUAGUGGAGUUCUAGUUCGUUUACUUUGAGAAAAUUAGAGUGUUCAAAGCAGCCUCUUGGGGCUUUGUAUAUGUUAGCAUGGGAUAAUAGAAUAGGAUCUGAUUGAUCUAUUUGUUGGUUUGAAUCAAUUAGAUAAUGAUUAAUAGGGACAGUUGGGGGUAUUUAUAUUGAAUGGUUAGCGGUGAAAUGCUCGGACCCAUUCAAGAUAAACUAAAGCGAAAGCAUUUACCAAGGAUGUUUUCAUUAAUCAAGAACGAAAGUUAAGGGAUCGAAGACGAUUAGAUACCGUCGUAGUCUUAACUAUAAACUAUGCCGACCAGGGAUGUGAGUGGUUCAACUCUUCUGUCAAAAGAAGAGACUUCCUCUUAUGCACCUUGUGAGAAAUCAUAAGUUUUUGGGUUCUGGGGGAAGUAUGGUCGCAAGGCUGAAACUUAAAGGAAUUGACGGAGGGGCACC